RNAcentral lists this ribosomal RNA (492 nucleotides) under uncultured bacterium. RNAcentral's name for it is "partial 16S ribosomal RNA". It matches the Rfam family "Bacterial small subunit ribosomal RNA", at positions 29 to 507 of the family's 1533-position model. The record is from RNAcentral.
AGUGAACGCUGGCGGUAGGCCUAACACAUGCAAGUCGAACGGCAGCACAGUAAGGGCUUGCUCUUACGGGUGGCGAGUGGCGGACGGGUGAGGAAUACAUCGGAAUCUACUUUUUCGUGGGGGAUAACGUAGGGAAACUUACGCUAAUACCGCAUACGACCUACGGGUGAAAGCAGGGGAUCUUCGGACCUUGCGCGAUUGAAUGAGCCGAUGUCGGAUUAGCUAGUUGGCGGGGUAAAGGCCCACCAAGGCGACGAUCCGUAGCUGGUCUGAGAGGAUGAUCAGCCACACUGGAACUGAGACACGGUCCAGACUCCUACGGGAGGCAGCAGUGGGGAAUAUUGGACAAUGGGCGCAAGCCUGAUCCAGCCAUACCGCGUGGGUGAAGAAGGCCUUCGGGUUGUAAAGCCCUUUUGUUGGGAAAGAAAAGCAGCAGGCUAAUACCCCGCUGUUCUGACGGUACCCAAAGAAUAAGCACCGGCUAACUUCGUG